This 239-nucleotide ribosomal RNA is filed under the name uncultured Lactobacillus sp. Its description in RNAcentral is "partial 16S ribosomal RNA". It matches the Rfam family "Bacterial small subunit ribosomal RNA", at positions 122 to 356 of the family's 1533-position model. Lineage: Bacteria; Bacillati; Bacillota; Bacilli; Lactobacillales; Lactobacillaceae. The record is from RNAcentral.
UAACCUGCCCAAGAGAUCGGGAUAACACCUGGAAACAGAUGCUAAUACCGGAUAACAAUAGAUGAUGCCUAUCAACUGUUUAAAAGAUGGUUCUGCUAUCACUCUUGGAUGGACCUGCGGUGCAUUAGCUAGUUGGUAGGGUAACGGCCUACCAAGGCGAUGAUGCAUAGCCGAGUUGAGAGACUGAUCGGCCACAUUGGGACUGAGACACGGCCCAAACUCCUACGGAGGCAGCAGCG